RNAcentral lists this ribosomal RNA (439 nucleotides) under uncultured bacterium. RNAcentral describes it as "partial 16S ribosomal RNA". It matches the Rfam family "Bacterial small subunit ribosomal RNA", at positions 339 to 795 of the family's 1533-position model. The record is from RNAcentral.
CUACGGGAGGCUGCAGUGGGGAAUAUUGCACAAUGGACGAAAGUCUGAUGCAGCAACGCCGCGUGGGGGAUGACACAUUUCGGUGCGUAAACUCCCUUUAUAUAGGAAGAUGAUGACGGUACUAUAUGAAUAAGCGCCGGCUAACUCCGUGCCAGCAGCCGCGGUAAUACGGAGGGCGCAAGCGUUACUCGGAAUCACUGGGCGUAAAGAGCGUGUAGGCGGAUUAAUAAGUUGGGAGUGAAAUCCUAUGGCUCAACCAUAGAACUGCUUCCAAAACUGUUAAUCUAGAGUAUGGGAGAGGUAGAUGGAAUUUCUGGUGUAGGGGUAAAAUCCGUAGAGAUCAGAAGGAAUACCGAUUGCGAAGGCGAUCUACUGGAACAUUACUGACGCUGAGACGCGAAAGCGUGGGGAGCAAACAGGAUUAGAUACCCCCGUAGUC